GCAUUACUGAAGAGUCCCAAACUAGGACGAAACAACUACCUGUCCAGUAC
RNAcentral lists this non-coding RNA (50 nucleotides) under Trichobilharzia regenti. The record is from RNAcentral. Lineage: Eukaryota; Metazoa; Platyhelminthes; Trematoda; Strigeidida; Schistosomatidae.